This 65-nucleotide transfer RNA is filed under the name Scolytinae sp. BMNH 1274282. Its description in RNAcentral is "tRNA-Leu". It matches the Rfam family "tRNA". Rfam says of the family: Transfer RNA (tRNA) molecules are approximately 80 nucleotides in length. Their secondary structure includes four short double-helical elements and three loops (D, anti-codon, and T loops). Lineage: Eukaryota; Metazoa; Arthropoda; Insecta; Coleoptera; Curculionidae. The record is from RNAcentral.
UCUAAUAUGGCAGAAAAGUGCAUUGGAUUUAAGCUCCAAUAAUAAAGUUAAAACUUUUUUUAGAA